Molecule: ribosomal RNA, 248 nt
Filed under: uncultured Actinomycetales bacterium
Lineage: Bacteria; Bacillati; Actinomycetota; Actinomycetes; Actinomycetales
Description: partial 16S ribosomal RNA
Rfam family: Bacterial small subunit ribosomal RNA
Source: RNAcentral
CAGGGUACUCGAGUGGCGAACGGGUGAGUAACACGUGGGUGAUCUGCCCUGCACUUCGGGAUAAGCUUGGGAAACUUGGUCUAAUACCGGAUAGGAACCAUCUUUAGUGUGGUGGUUGGAAAGUUUUUUCGGUGUAGGAUUAGCUCGCGGCCUAUCAGCUUGUUGGUGGGGUAAUGGCCUACCAAGGCUGCGACGGGUAGCCGGCCUGAGAGGGUGUACGGCCACAUUGGGACUGAGAUACGGCCCAG